RNAcentral lists this ribosomal RNA (505 nucleotides) under uncultured bacterium. RNAcentral's name for it is "partial 16S ribosomal RNA". It matches the Rfam family "Bacterial small subunit ribosomal RNA", at positions 28 to 507 of the family's 1533-position model. The record is from RNAcentral.
GACGAACGCUGGCGGCGUGCCUAAUACAUGCAAGUAGAACGCACAGUUUAUACCGUAGCUUGCUGCACCAUAGACUGUGAGUUGCGAACGGGUGAGUAACGCGUAGGUAACCUGCCUGGUAGCGGGGGAUAACUAUUGGAAACGAUAGCUAAUACCGCAUAAUAUUAAUUAUUGCAUGAUAAUUAAUUGAAAGGUGCAAUUGCACCACUACCAGAUGGACCUGCGUUGUAUUAGCUAGUAGGUGAGGUAACGGCUCACCUAGGCGACGAUACAUAGCCGACCUGAGAGGGUGAUCGGCCACACUGGGACUGAGACACGGCCCAGACUCCUACGGGAGGCAGCAGUAGGGAAUCUUCGGCAAUGGACGAAAGUCUGACCGAGCAACGCCGCAUGAGUGAAGAAGGUUGUCGGAUCGUAAAGCUCUGUUGUAAGAGAAGAACGGGUGUGAGAGUGGAAAGUUCACACUGUGACGGUAUCUUACCAGAAAGGGACGGCUAACUACGUG